RNAcentral lists this ribosomal RNA (285 nucleotides) under Escherichia coli. Its description in RNAcentral is "partial 23S ribosomal RNA". It matches the Rfam family "Bacterial large subunit ribosomal RNA", at positions 2663 to 2925 of the family's 2925-position model. Lineage: Bacteria; Pseudomonadati; Pseudomonadota; Gammaproteobacteria; Enterobacterales; Enterobacteriaceae. The record is from RNAcentral.
UGAGGGGGGCUGCUCCUAGUACGAGAGGACCGGAGUGGACGCAUCACUGGUGUUCGGGUUGUCAUGCCAAUGGCACUGCCCGGUAGCUAAAUGCGGAAGAGAUAAGUGCUGAAAGCAUCUAAGCACGAAACUUGCCCCGAGAUGAGUUCUCCCUGACUCCUUGAGAGUCCUGAAGGAACGUUGAAGACGACGACGUUGAUAGGUCGGGUGUGUAAGCGCAGCGAUGCGUUGAGCUAACCGGUACUAAUGAACCGUGAGGCUUAACCUUACAACGCCGAAGCUGUU